AUUGAACGCUGGCGGCAUGCCUUACACAUGCAAGUCGAACGGCAGCACGGGUGCUUGCACCUGGUGGCGAGUGGCGAACGGGUGAGUAAUACAUCGGAACAUGUCCUGUAGUGGGGGAUAGCCCUGCGAAAGCCGGAUUAAUACCGCAUACGAUCUACGGAUGAAAGCGGGGGACCUUCGGGCCUCGCGCUAUAGGGUUGGCCGAUGGCUGAUUAGCUAGUUGGUGGGGUAAAGGCCUACCAAGGCGACGAUCAGUAGCUGGUCUGAGAGGACGACCAGCAAAACUGGGACUGGGAAACGGCCCAGACUCCUACGGGAGGCAGCAGUGGGGAAUUUUGGACAAUGGGCGAAAGCCUGAUCCAGCAAUGCCGCGUGUGUGAAGAAGGCCUUAGGGUUGUAAAGCACUUUUGUCCGGAAAGAAAUCCUUGGCCCUAAUACGGUCGGGGGAUGACGGUACCGGAAGAAUAAGCACCGGCUAACUACGUG
RNAcentral lists this ribosomal RNA (486 nucleotides) under uncultured bacterium. Its description in RNAcentral is "partial 16S ribosomal RNA". It matches the Rfam family "Bacterial small subunit ribosomal RNA", at positions 30 to 507 of the family's 1533-position model. The record is from RNAcentral.